UGCCGGGUCGUCCAAUGGCAGGAUACAAGACUUUGAAUCUUGUGAUGGUGGUUCGACCCCACCCCCGGCAGCCA
Molecule: transfer RNA, 74 nt
Filed under: Candidatus Altarchaeales archaeon
Lineage: Archaea; Nanobdellati; Candidatus Altarchaeota; Candidatus Altarchaeia; Candidatus Altarchaeales
Description: tRNA-Gln
Rfam family: tRNA
About the family: Transfer RNA (tRNA) molecules are approximately 80 nucleotides in length. Their secondary structure includes four short double-helical elements and three loops (D, anti-codon, and T loops). Further hydrogen bonds mediate the characteristic L-shaped molecular structure. tRNAs have two regions of fundamental functional importance: the anti-codon, which is responsible for specific mRNA codon recognition, and the 3' end, to which the tRNAs corresponding amino acid is attached (by aminoacyl-tRNA synthetases). tRNAs cope with the degeneracy of the genetic code in two manners: having more than one tRNA (with a specific anti-codon) for a particular amino acid; and 'wobble' base-pairing, i.e. permitting non-standard base-pairing at the 3rd anti-codon position.
Source: RNAcentral